GAUGAACGCUAGCGGCAGGCCUAACACAUGCAAGUCGAGGGGGAAGUUACUUUCGGGUGACUGAGACCGGCGUACGGGUGCGUAACGCGUAUACAAUCUGCCUUUCACUGGGGGAUAGCCCGAAGAAAUUUGGAUUAAUACCCCAUAGUAUAUAGGGACGGCAUCGUUUUUAUAUUAAAGCUUAGGUGGUGAAAGAUGAGUAUGCGUUCUAUUAGCUAGUUGGAGAGGUAACGGCUCCCCAAGGCGAUGAUAGAUAGGGGUUCUGAGAGGGAUGUCCCCCACACUGGUACUGAGAUACGGACCAGACUCCUACGGGAGGCAGCAGUGAGGAAUAUUGGACAAUGGUCGGAAGACUGAUCCAGCCAUGCCGCGUGCAGGACGAAGGUCUUAUGGAUUGUAAACUGCUUUUGUAAGGGAAGAAUAAGGGCUACGCGUAGUUUGAUGACGGUACCUUACGAAUAAGCAUCGGCUAACUCAGUG
RNAcentral lists this ribosomal RNA (480 nucleotides) under uncultured bacterium. Its description in RNAcentral is "partial 16S ribosomal RNA". It matches the Rfam family "Bacterial small subunit ribosomal RNA", at positions 28 to 507 of the family's 1533-position model. The record is from RNAcentral.